CACGUAUAGGAGGUCUUGCCUGCCCAGUGACAAGUUAAACGGCCGCGGUAUUUUGACCGUGCGAAGGUAGCGCAAUCACUUGUCUUUUAAAUGAAGACCUGUAUGAAUGGUGGAACGAGGGCUUAACUGUCUCCCCUUUCAAGUCAAUGAAAUUGAUCUGCCCGUGCAGAAGCGGACAUAAAACUACAAGACGAGAAGACCCUUUGGAGCUUAAGACUUAAGAUCAACUAUGUCAAGAAUCACAAACAAGAUUAAACUAAAUAGCAACUGAUCCCUGUCUUCGGUUGGGGCGACCGCGGGAGAAAACAAAGCUCCCACGCGGACCGGGAUAAUAUCCUAAAACUAAGAGAGACAUCUCUAAGUCACAGAAUUUCUGACCACAAAGAUCCGGCAUCAUGCCGAUCAACGGACCAAGUUACCCUAGGGAUAACAGCGCAAUCCCCUUUAAGAGUCCAUAUCGACAAGGGGGUUUACGACCUCGAUGUUGGAUCAGGACAUCCUAAUGGUGCAGCCGCUAUUAAGGGUUCGUUUGUUCAACGAUUAAAGUCCUACGUGAUCUGAGUUCAGACCGGA
This 573-nucleotide ribosomal RNA is filed under the name Tachysurus fulvidraco (yellow catfish). RNAcentral describes it as "partial 16S ribosomal RNA". It matches the Rfam family "Bacterial large subunit ribosomal RNA", at positions 1840 to 2620 of the family's 2925-position model. Lineage: Eukaryota; Metazoa; Chordata; Actinopteri; Siluriformes; Bagridae. The record is from RNAcentral.